Molecule: non-coding RNA, 569 nt
Organism: Podarcis lilfordi (Lilford's wall lizard)
Lineage: Eukaryota; Metazoa; Chordata; Lepidosauria; Squamata; Lacertidae
Source: the annotation of a GenBank genome assembly
GGUAAAGAGGCAACCUCAUUUCCUCCUUGUGCUGCCCAGCAGAACUGGAACCACCUGUGGCCCCCUGUCACAUCCAAAUACACAGCCAAAGGAACAUCCCAUUAAAUGUAAUGCAUCACAGAUGGGUUAUCUCCUCACCUGGAUGAUAUUCUGUUGCUCUGCAUUAAUUUUACAGUUCUGAAUGUGCAUUUCCAUUGGCAAUGUUUGCAAAAUAACACUGCUCCCCCUAAUUUUGGGCUGGCCGUAUUUUGACACACCACUAUUAUUGUGAUGCUGUUCUGUGUCCAAGUAGAGGGCAUCCCUGGAAUACAAAUGCUCUUCCAUAAGAAGAGCUUAUAACUUGUCCCAGAGGUGCCACUCAAACCCUCUCAAAAUGUGAAAUAGAAAAAGGAAAGAGCAGCCAUUAUUUUGAUGGAUUUUUUAAAACAAGAAACCUACUCUUAUAUUGACAGAUCAUCCGCAGUAGCUCCGAAGGUAUUUUACAUUGCUGAAGAAAGAAAUAUGGCAUUUAACUCUGCUCAACCUCCCUGCUUAGGAGUUGGCUGCACAUCAUGAUUCUCCAAUCAGAG